ACUGCUUACAAGGUGCUGCAUGGUUGUCGUCAGCUCGUGCCGUGAGGUGCGGGUUAAGUCCCAUAACGAGCGCAACCCCUAUCGUUAGUUGCCAGCAAGUAAAGUUGGGGACUCUAGCGAGACUGCCGGUGUAAACCGUGAGGAAGGUGGGGAUGACGUCAAAUCAGCACGGCCCUUAUAUCCAGGCUACACACGUGUUACAAUGGUCGGUACAAAGAGCAGCCACUUGGUGACAAGGCGCUAAUCUCAAAGCCGAUCUCAGUUCGGAUCGAAGUCUGCAACUCGACUUCGUGAAGUUGGAUUCGCUAGUAAUCGCGCAUCAGCCAUGGCGCGGUGAAUACGUUCCCGGGCCUU
RNAcentral lists this ribosomal RNA (354 nucleotides) under uncultured Marinilabiliaceae bacterium. RNAcentral describes it as "bacterial SSU rRNA". It matches the Rfam family "Bacterial small subunit ribosomal RNA", at positions 1026 to 1382 of the family's 1533-position model. The record is from RNAcentral. Lineage: Bacteria; Pseudomonadati; Bacteroidota; Bacteroidia; Marinilabiliales; Marinilabiliaceae.